Non-coding RNA from Parelaphostrongylus tenuis, 71 nucleotides. The record is from the annotation of a GenBank genome assembly. Lineage: Eukaryota; Metazoa; Nematoda; Chromadorea; Rhabditida; Metastrongylidae.
GCCUUAGUGGCGUAAUGGUAGCACGCGCUCCCGGUAAGGGUGGAACGGGGGUUUAACUCCCAUCUGAGGUC